Archocentrus centrarchus (flier cichlid) is the source of this 1541-nucleotide RNA transcript. It is a transcript of the gene named ribosomal protein L3, with no coding region annotated. Lineage: Eukaryota; Metazoa; Chordata; Actinopteri; Cichliformes; Cichlidae. The transcript is spliced from 9 exons. The record is from RefSeq and is a predicted model, not a curated record.
AGAUGUUCGCUACCGACCAGGGGUGGAACUUCUUUGAGGAAACUCUCGCUGACUCCCGCGAUAUUUGCUUUGGUAUAUAUUGACAGUUUGCCCGUCAGCGGGUCUCUUUCAACUGGAUUGGAGACGAAAUGUCCCACCGUAAGUUUUCGGCUCCGCGACACGGAUCCCUGGGCUUCCUGCCCCGCAAGAGGAGCCGUCGUCACCGCGGUAAGGUCAAGAGCUUCCCCAAGGAUGACCCCAGCAAGCCCGUCCAUCUUACUGCCUUCCUGGGCUAUAAGGCCGGCAUGACUCACAUCGUCCGUGAGGUGGACAGACCUGGCUCAAAGGUGAACAAGAAGGAAGUGGUUGAGGCAGUGACCAUUGUGGAGACGCCUCCCAUGAUUGUGGUCGGCGUUGUUGGUUACGUCAACACCCCCCGUGGUCUGCGGUCCUUCAAGACUGUCUUCGCUGAGCACAUGAGUGACGAGUGUAAGCGUCGCUUUUACAAGAAUUGGUACAAGUCCAAGAAGAAGGCUUUCACCAAAUACUGCAAGAAAUGGCAGGAUGAGGAGGGCAAGAAGCAGCUGGAGAAAGACUUUGCUGCCAUGAAAAAAUACUGCCAGGUCAUCCGUGUCAUUUGCCACACACAGAUGCGUCUGCUGCCACUGAGGCAGAAGAAGGCUCACCUCAUGGAAGUGCAGCUGAAUGGAGGCACCAUCUCUGAUAAGGUGGACUGGGCCCGUGAGAAGCUGGAGCAGGCUGUGUUAGUAAACGCAGUUUUCACCCAGGAUGAGAUGAUUGAUGUCAUUGGCGUCACUAAGGGUCACGGAUACAAGGGUGUCACCAGCCGUUGGCACACAAAGAAGCUUCCUCGCAAAACCCAUCGUGGUCUGCGUAAGGUGGCCUGUAUUGGUGCCUGGCAUCCUGCCCGUGUGGCCUUCUCUGUGGCCCGUGCUGGUCAGAAGGGUUACCACCACCGCACAGAAAUCAACAAGAAGAUCUACAAGAUUGGUCAGGGCUACCACCAGAAAGAUGGAAAACUGGUGAAGAACAAUGCCUCCACAGAGUACGAUCUGUCCAACAAGAGCAUCAACCCCAUGGGUGGAUUCGUCCAUUACGGAGAAGUGAGGAAUGACUUUGUCAUGGUGAAGGGCUGUGUUGUGGGGACCAAGAAGAGAGUGCUGACUCUGCGCAAGUCUCUGCUGGUGCAGACGAGCCGUCGUGCUUUGGAGAAGAUCGACCUCAAAUUUAUCGACACCACCUCCAAGUUCGGUCAUGGUCGCUUCCAGACUGUGGAGGAAAAGAAGGCUUUCAUGGUAUGACUUUGUUCUGUGAGCUGUUUAUUUUAUUUAGUUUUUUUGUUCUGCAGUAUUCACAAUGAACAUGAGAUCCAUGCAUCUGUAAUUUCAAGCUGUAUAGUAAUGGUGGCUUGUGUCAUAUUACUUGGUUUUCAGGCCAUCUUUUCUGCAACGUGUUUCUGCUAGUUUCAGAUGGGAUAAGCUGAGGACAUGCCCAGUAUAAGAUGUAUAAUUAUUUUGAUCUGAAUUAUGCAAUACUGGGGG